Molecule: long non-coding RNA, 789 nt
Filed under: Salvia miltiorrhiza (redroot sage)
Lineage: Eukaryota; Viridiplantae; Streptophyta; Magnoliopsida; Lamiales; Lamiaceae
Description: long non-coding RNA (SMIL_LNC011659)
Source: RNAcentral
UUUAAGGGUUUCAGUUAUAGACAAUUCUGGAAGUGCAUCAUUAACAUUAUGGGAUAGAGAGUGCAUGGAAUUAAUUGGUAAAUCAGCUGAAGAUUUAAGUGUGGUAAGAAGUUUGUCAAUGUUAUCAUAUCAGAAAUAAUAAUAUAACGUUUUAACUGUUUUUAUUGUUUAUUCAUUUUUAAAUUUUGAAGGAGUUUGGUGGGAGUGAUAUAUAUGCCUUUCGAUGCGAAUUUGGUAGUGGGCAUAAGUUCUCUUUUCAAGAUCAAUAUCAAAUGUGGAGAGACAAAACUUAUGGAUGGUGCUUAUGGAGUUGCAAAAAUUAAUUGUGAUGAAGAAAUCAUUGCAAAAUACUGCAAGAUACAAACUGGAAGUGAACUCAACAAGGAUGGAAGCUCAAGUAAUGCAACAUCAUCUAAGAAUGAUUCACUCCCAACAGAAUUGGUGAACUUAAGUGAUGAUGAGUCGCUUAAGAGAUCUACAGAUGAAGCUAAACCAGUUGUGAUGAACAAGAAAGGCAAGAGAGUUGCAAUCAAGAAAGAGAAGAUUUAGGAAGUCGAAUGAGAAUGCAGUACUUUGAAUAUUUCUUAAUUAUUAUAGUUUAGUUAGUAGGAUUUUUAAUUAUUAUGUUGAUAGGAUCUCAUAUUAAAAUGUUAUUAGGAUUUGAAAUUAUUCUGUUCUUAUGAUUACUAAUGUUAUCGUAUUUGAAUUAAAUAUGGAGUACUUUGGCUAUAUUAAUUUUAUCGUUACUUUUGAUAUAAUUAUUAUUUUGAGUAAAAGAAUCAAAUAAAG